Molecule: long non-coding RNA, 468 nt
Organism: Pipra filicauda (Wire-tailed manakin)
Lineage: Eukaryota; Metazoa; Chordata; Aves; Passeriformes; Pipridae
Exons: 2
Source: RefSeq, a predicted model, not a curated record
ACUUGGAGAGGGGACACAGGGGCGCGUCCCGGGGGCGUUGGAGUGUUUCCAGAGAGGGGCGAUCCACGACCAUCCUCUUCCAGUGCUCUGCCACCCUCGACAUAAAAAAGGUCUCCAUGCCGAGGGAAAGAAACUGCCUCAUGAAGUCUCCUGGUUAUCUGCUCUGAGAACAAGAGUCAGCUCUGACUUGGAGCCAGAGGAAGGCUGCCAGCACAGGCUGAAGUCAGCAGAGGGCAACAUGGCUGCAUAGACUAACAGAGCUGCAAGGAUGUGUUAGAGAGAGAAGCAGAGCAUUCUAUUUCUUUGGAAUACUGAAUAUUUUCUUGCAUUACAAAUUGGAUUUUUACGUAUAUAUCUAUUCACACGUGUUUAUUUGUACAUAUCAAUAUUAUCAAUCUAGAUAUACUAUUACACUGGAUCUGACUUGAGAAAACAAAAUUAAAAUAUCUACCACACUCCAUCCAAGGA